ACAUGCAGUUGAGCGCUGAGGUUGGUACUUGUACCAACUGGAUGAGCAGCGAACGGGAAAGGGCCCGUGGGGAAUCUGCCUUCAGCAGGGGACAACAUUAGGAGCGCUACUAAUACCGCAUAAAAACUUUAAACACAAGUUUUAAGUUUGAAAGAUGCAAUUGCAUCACUCAAAGAUGAUUUCGCAUUGUAUUAGCUAGUUGGUGAGGUAAAGGCUCACCAAGGCGAUGAUACAUAGCCGACCUGAGAGGGUGAUCGGCCACAUUGGGACUGAGACACGGCCCAAACUCCUACGGGAGGCAGCAGUAGGGAAUCUUCGGCAAUGGACGAAAGUCUGACCGAGCAACGCCGCGUGAGUGAAGAAGGUUUUCGGAUCGUAAAACUCUGUUGGUAGAGAAGAACGUUGGUGAGAGUGGAAAGCUCAUUAAGUGACGGUAACUACCCAGAAAGGGACGGCUAACUACGUGCCAGCACCCGCGGUAAUACGUAGGUCCCGAGCGUUGUCCGGAUUUAUUGGGCGUAAAGCGAGCGCAGGUGGUUUAUUAAGUCUGGUGUAAAAGGCAGUGGCUCAACCAUUGUAUGCAUUGGAAACUGGUAGACUUGAGUGCAGGAGAGGAGAGUGGAAUUCCAUGUGUAGCGGUGAAAUGCGUAGAUAUAUGGAGGAACACCGGUGGCGAAAGCGGCUCUCUGGCCUGUAACUGACACUGAGGCUCGAAAGCGUGGGGAGCAAACAGGAUUAGAUACCCCUGGUAGUCCACGCCGUAAACGAUGAGUGCUAGAUGGUAGGGAGCUAUUAAGUUCUCUGUAUCGCAGCUUAACGCAAAUAAGGCACUUCCGGCCUGGGGGAGUACGACCCGCAAAGGUUGGAAAACUUCAAAGGGAAUUUGUACGGGGGGUCCCGCACCAAGCCGGUGGAACAUGGGCUUUACUUCCGAAGCAACGCGAAGAACCUUAACCAGGGGUCUUGUGAACUACUACUCUUCGGUGGCUUAUAUUGC
RNAcentral lists this ribosomal RNA (997 nucleotides) under Lactococcus lactis. Its description in RNAcentral is "bacterial SSU rRNA". It matches the Rfam family "Bacterial small subunit ribosomal RNA", at positions 53 to 1016 of the family's 1533-position model. Lineage: Bacteria; Bacillati; Bacillota; Bacilli; Lactobacillales; Streptococcaceae. The record is from RNAcentral.